This 340-nucleotide unclassified non-coding RNA is filed under the name soil metagenome. RNAcentral describes it as "partial contains 5.8S ribosomal RNA, internal transcribed spacer 2, and large subunit ribosomal RNA". The stretch from base 1 to 120 matches the Rfam family "5.8S ribosomal RNA", at positions 35 to 154 of the family's 154-position model. The record is from RNAcentral.
GAUGAAUAACGUAGCGAAAUGCGAUAAGUAAUGUGAAUUGCAGAGUUCAGUGAAUCAUCGAAUCUUUGAACGCACAUUGCGCCCGUCAGUAUUCUGACGGGCAUGCCUGUCCGAGCGUCAUUUCAACCCUCAAGCACUGCUUGGCGUUGGCGGAUUGCGUGCCCUCGCGGCGCUGCAACCGCCCAAAUACAGUGGCGGUCCCGCUGCGGCUCCCUUUGCGUAGUAACUCACCUCGCACUGGACCGGGCGGCGGCCUGCCGUAAAACCCCAACUCACGAAAUGUUGACCUCGGAUCAGGUAGGAAUACCCGCUGAACUUAAGCAUAUCAAUAAGCGGAGGA